GUAUUAGAUUUGUAGGCACAAAGUCCCGACAUAAUAAACAUUCUAGACAUUCAUAUGGUGUGUGUUAUAAAGACAUAGGCCUGAAUAAUUAAUAUACAAGGACAGCUUGGCAGCAAUCCUCAAACCGAGUUCUGGUGGACCUCGAAAAUAGUUAUUCAAGCCUACAAAGGUGCACAGGUGGGUUUUAAAGAUGGUGUCUGAGCGUGCACAUGCUCCUAGGAGCCAGCAACAGCCCAAACCCAAGUUUUAUUCAAUAAUGAUCCUUCCGCAGGUUCACCUACGGAAA
This 286-nucleotide unclassified non-coding RNA is filed under the name uncultured fungus. RNAcentral's name for it is "sequence contains ITS1". The record is from RNAcentral. Lineage: Eukaryota; Fungi.